Molecule: long non-coding RNA, 564 nt
Organism: Phyllostomus hastatus (greater spear-nosed bat)
Lineage: Eukaryota; Metazoa; Chordata; Mammalia; Chiroptera; Phyllostomidae
Exons: 3
Source: RefSeq, a predicted model, not a curated record
AUUCAACAAGAGUGAGACCUACUAACUGCCUUCACCAUAGACACUGGCCGCCUACUUUCCACAGGAAGGUGUGGAGAUGACUAGGCUACAGGAGGAGCAUUGGCUGGGGAGGCCAGGAAGGUUGUGACCACUCCUUCUGGAACAUGGCCACCACCUAGCACAAGACUGAUUCCCUGACCUUUAACUGGAGACCAAUGUGUGCCCUUUUUUCUCCAUGAUCCCUGAACCUUCCCCUUUGAUCUAGAAGACCCUGCUCUGUGGCUUCUGCCUCCACCCCUCCAUUGAAUCCAAGAGAAGACCUGACUAGACUCAUACCUGAGGAUCAAAGAAAACUGGCUGCGCAUGCACAGCAGGCUCCAGGGCCAAGCUGCUUGGUUCACCUCCCCACAGGAAUGUUGGUCCCUGGGACGUGCAGCCCGCACCCUCCCCAUGGCCUGGACACCCUCCUCCUCCAUGUCAUUGACUUUGGCCCUGUGCCAGUGGGCUUGGACUCUUUGGUUUCAAAAGGGACCAAAGAAUGCCUCCUGCCCCUCCCAGGCAGCAGCACAUCGGAGAUCGGGGGAA